GUCCACGCCCUAAACGAUGUCGACUAGUUGUUCGGGAAGGUGACUUCUUGAGUAACGUAGCUAACGCGUGAAGUCGACCGCCUGGGGAGUACGGCCGCAAGGUUAACUCAAAGGAAUUGACGGGUACCCGCACAAGCGGUGGAUGAUGUGGAUUAAUUCGAUGCAACGCGAAACCUUACCUACCCUUGACAUGUCUGGAAUCCUGCAGAGAUGCGGGAGUGCCUUCGGGAACCAGAACACAGGUGCUGCAUGGCUGUCGU
Molecule: ribosomal RNA, 260 nt
Filed under: uncultured bacterium
Lineage: Bacteria
Description: partial 16S ribosomal RNA
Rfam family: Bacterial small subunit ribosomal RNA
Source: RNAcentral